RNAcentral lists this long non-coding RNA (1032 nucleotides) under Mus caroli (Ryukyu mouse). Its description in RNAcentral is "lncRNA (MGP_CAROLIEiJ_G0005274.1)". Lineage: Eukaryota; Metazoa; Chordata; Mammalia; Rodentia; Muridae. The record is from RNAcentral.
GAGUCAGUUUUCAGGAGCAGGAAAAAGAAACAGUUCUCUUUUCCCGGCUUGGAAGAAAAGUUCCACUGUGCUAGACACUGGCCCUGUCAUUUUUAGGAAAGGGAAAAGGUCACAGCUUGAGAGCCUUGUCCCAAUGCUUUGGAAGCUCUUGGGCUUAUCCCCUAGAACUGGCCUGGACCCUCUGGAGCAGCAGAGGGAGGAUUGGAGUCAGGUUUCCUGUUGGCUCUUGCAUUGAGGACCAGAGUGGAGAGGAUGGCACAGAUAAAGUUCAACCAACUGCAGAUGAAGGCCUACCUAGAAGGGUCUGUGCAGGACAAGCAGGGUCCCUCCAGAUCUGAAGACUAUGCAGUCAGCUAGCACCAGGCCAACACCAGGGGACAAGACCAAGAAUGAAGAGACCAAGGCUCCCUGCAGAUCACAUGUCCGAUUCUCAUUGCUUCCAACCUUGGCUGCCUGGAAGAACCUUAUCUCUACAUAGAUACAGCCAAUGAGUCUACACUAGACAAGGCAACCAGAGACCAAAGAGAAGAAAAGGCAGAGCGGGGACAUCCGGAGACCAGAGAGAAGCAACAGCUGUUGGCUCAGAAUACCACAGAAAGAAACUUGAGGUAGCGGCUUGCCAGUGGGCUACUGUGAAACCAGAGGCGUGGUAUCUUUUCUGCCACUAGCCUGGCAGGCAUUGACAGGGAGGUUGGCCUUGGCAGUGACUGAGCAACCCCAAUCCCAGUAGCCUGGGGCAAUCUCUUUCUGGAAGACAGCGGCUUCCUUGCUUUUGCUGGCUCUUCCAGUUCACCAUCACCUGAGAGUUUCUGGCUGUGGACACAGCCUGCCAAGGGGCAAGCUGAAGGAAACUGGACUGUAUGAGAAAAUGGGGAACCUGUCAGGGUAGAAGCAAGCUUCCUGCAGCCCCAUGGCACGGUUCUUCAGUUUGGGUUGCCUCUCAUUUUGGCAUGGAUUUGAGGAGGAGAUCGUGUUCUAAAGUUGCUGGAGAAAAUUAGAAGGAUUGCAAGUGAAGCUGGGUAGUGCUCUAUG